GCCUCCGUAGCAUAGUGGUAUUGCGUUCGCUUUGUAAGCGAAAGGCCGUGAGUUCGAUCCUCGCCGGGGGGGCU
This is a non-coding RNA of Raphanus sativus (radish), 74 nucleotides long. The record is from the annotation of a RefSeq genome assembly. Lineage: Eukaryota; Viridiplantae; Streptophyta; Magnoliopsida; Brassicales; Brassicaceae.